Molecule: non-coding RNA, 87 nt
Organism: Apis mellifera (honey bee)
Lineage: Eukaryota; Metazoa; Arthropoda; Insecta; Hymenoptera; Apidae
Source: RefSeq, marked provisional
UAUGGUGAAGGUAAUAGUCCAUAGAGCUUCAAAAAAUUGAAUCGUGCUUAAACUUUUAAGCUCUGUGUACUUUUUACAGGAUCGAAA